UAACUCUCAGAUAUCUAACUAAUGGAUUUAACAUUAAGCUUAUCAUUUACAUUUUUCCUGUUUUUAAAGUUUAAUUUUAAAAUUUUCUGAGAAAUUUGUAAAUGCUGUUAGAUUUUUGGCAUAUAAAGUUCCAUCAAAAAAGAUAUUCUAAUUCUCCAGAGUUUAUUAAUUUUACCCACUAAGUCUAGCAUAAUCUGAAUUUUUUAGUAUAUUGAAAUAUGAAACAAAUUAUAUGAUAACUUGAUCAAGCAUGGUAUUAUCUAUUAUGUUCAAAGAGAAUAACAGACUCCUUGAAAAAGUAUCCAAGGCUGUCUACUAACUGACCUCAUUAUACAUUUUCUGUAUCAUUUUCUGUCACCAAAACUGUUUAAAGGCAGUGGUCUUUGUGUACAUAGCAUCAGUGCCAUGCCUAGAGCAUAACAGACCUUUUAAUAAAUGCUUAUUCAGUCACUAAGAGGCCUUAGAGAACUCAU
Molecule: long non-coding RNA, 473 nt
Filed under: Bos taurus (domestic cattle)
Lineage: Eukaryota; Metazoa; Chordata; Mammalia; Artiodactyla; Bovidae
Description: long non-coding RNA NONBTAT019475
Source: RNAcentral